AUGAACUUGAGCCAUGGACUAAAGAUGG
Molecule: non-coding RNA, 28 nt
Filed under: Cricetulus griseus (Chinese hamster)
Lineage: Eukaryota; Metazoa; Chordata; Mammalia; Rodentia; Cricetidae
Source: RNAcentral